RNAcentral lists this ribosomal RNA (623 nucleotides) under Amanita muscaria (fly agaric). RNAcentral describes it as "LSU rRNA". It matches the Rfam family "Eukaryotic large subunit ribosomal RNA", at positions 58 to 657 of the family's 3401-position model. The record is from RNAcentral. Lineage: Eukaryota; Fungi; Basidiomycota; Agaricomycetes; Agaricales; Amanitaceae.
AAAGAAACUAACAAGGAUUCCCUUAGUAACUGCGAGUGAAGAGGGAAGAGCUCAAAUUUAAAAUCUGGCAGUGUUUUGCUGUCCGAGUUGUAAUCUAGAGAAGUGCUGCCCGUGCUGGACCAUGUACAAGUCUCCUGGAAUGGAGCGUCACAGAGGGUGAGAAUCCCGUCUUUGACAUGGACUACCAGUGCAUUUGUGGUGUGCUCUCAAAGAGUCGAGUUGUUUGGGAAUGCAGCUCUAAAUGGGUGGUAAACUCCAUCUAAAGCUAAAUAUUGGCGAGAGACCGAUAGCGAACAAGUACCGUGAGGGAAAGAUGAAAAGAACUUUGGAAAGAGAGUUAAACAGUAUGUGAAAUUGUUGAAAGGGAAACGCUUAAAGUCAGUCGUGUCGGCCAGGGAUCAACUCAGCUUUCUCUGCUGGGUGUACUUCCUGAUCUGAUGGGCCAACAUCAGUUUUGACUGCUGGAGAAGGACAGAGGGAAUGUGGCACCUUUGGGUGUGUUAUAGCUCUCUGUCAGAUGCAGUGGUUGGGACUGAGGAUUGCAGCAUGCCGCAAGGCCGGGUCGUUUUGACCACGUUCAUGCUGAGGAUGUUGGCAUAAUGGCUUUAAUCGACCCGUCUUGA